This 1276-nucleotide ribosomal RNA is filed under the name Bacillus sp. (in: firmicutes). RNAcentral describes it as "bacterial SSU rRNA". It matches the Rfam family "Bacterial small subunit ribosomal RNA", at positions 137 to 1511 of the family's 1533-position model. The record is from RNAcentral. Lineage: Bacteria; Bacillati; Bacillota; Bacilli; Caryophanales; Bacillaceae.
ACUGGGAUAACUCCGGGAAACCGGAGCUAAUACCGGAUAGUUCCUUGAACCGCAUGGUUCAAGGAUGAAAGACGGUUUCGGCUGUCACUUACAGAUGGACCCGCGGCGCAUUAGCUAGUUGGUGAGGUAACGGCUCACCAAGGCGACGAUGCGUAGCCGACCUGAGAGGGUGAUCGGCCACACUGGGACUGAGACACGGCCCAGACUCCUACGGGAGGCAGCAGUAGGGAAUCUUCCGCAAUGGACGAAAGUCUGACGGAGCAACGCCGCGUGAGUGAUGAAGGUUUUCGGAUCGUAAAGCUCUGUUGUUAGGGAAGAACAAGUGCAAGAGUAACUGCUUGCACCUUGACGGUACCUAACCAGAAAGCCACGGCUAACUACGUGCCAGCAGCCGCGGUAAUACGUAGGUGGCAAGCGUUGUCCGGAAUUAUUGGGCGUAAAGGGCUCGCAGGCGGUUUCUUAAGUCUGAUGUGAAAGCCCCCGGCUCAACCGGGGAGGGUCAUUGGAAACUGGGAAACUUGAGUGCAGAAGAGGAGAGUGGAAUUCCACGUGUAGCGGUGAAAUGCGUAGAGAUGUGGAGGAACACCAGUGGCGAAGGCGACUCUCUGGUCUGUAACUGACGCUGAGGAGCGAAAGCGUGGGGAGCGAACAGGAUUAGAUACCCUGGUAGUCCACGCCGUAAACGAUGAGUGCUAAGUGUUAGGGGGUUUCCGCCCCUUAGUGCUGCAGCUAACGCAUUAAGCACUCCGCCUGGGGAGUACGGUCGCAAGACUGAAACUCAAAGGAAUUGACGGGGGCCCGCACAAGCGGUGGAGCAUGUGGUUUAAUUCGAAGCAACGCGAAGAACCUUACCAGGUCUUGACAUCCUCUGACAACCCUAGAGAUAGGGCUUUCCCUUCGGGGACAGAGUGACAGGUGGUGCAUGGUUGUCGUCAGCUCGUGUCGUGAGAUGUUGGGUUAAGUCCCGCAACGAGCGCAACCCUUGAUCUUAGUUGCCAGCAUUCAGUUGGGCACUCUAAGGUGACUGCCGGUGACAAACCGGAGGAAGGUGGGGAUGACGUCAAAUCAUCAUGCCCCUUAUGACCUGGGCUACACACGUGCUACAAUGGACAGAACAAAGGGCUGCGAGACCGCAAGGUUUAGCCAAUCCCACAAAUCUGUUCUCAGUUCGGAUCGCAGUCUGCAACUCGANUGCGUGAAGGUAGAAUUAANNNUUAUCACGGUAGAGCAUGACCCGGUCACUGUAAGUCGUAACAAGGUAGCCGUAAGUCGUAAC